This 542-nucleotide ribosomal RNA is filed under the name Thysanophrys chiltonae (longsnout flathead). RNAcentral describes it as "partial 16S ribosomal RNA". The stretch from base 191 to 542 matches the Rfam family "Bacterial large subunit ribosomal RNA", at positions 568 to 1050 of the family's 2925-position model. Lineage: Eukaryota; Metazoa; Chordata; Actinopteri; Perciformes; Platycephalidae. The record is from RNAcentral.
GAUGCUAAACAGCUAGCCUACCCCCAAAAACAACAAAUCAAAUAUUAAUAACCCCUAAAACACUAACUUAAAAUCAACAAAUCAUUUUACCUCCUAAGUAUCUGCGACGGAAAUGGAUCUAAGAGCGACAGAGAAAGUACCGCAAGGGAACGCUGAAAGAGAAAUGAAACAAACCAGAUAAAGCCCCAGAAAGCAGAGAUUAACCCUCGUACCUUUUGCAUCAUGAUUUAGCCAGUGACCUCCAAGCAAAGAGCACUUUAGUUUGAUGACCCGAAACUAGCAUGAGCUACUCCAAGGCAGCCUAUAAGGGCAAACCCGUCUCUGUGGCAAAAGAGUGGGAAGAACUUUGAGUAGAGGUGACAGACCUACCGAAUCUAGUUAUAGCUGGUUGCCUGAGAAUUGGAUAGCAGUUCAGCCUCACAAAUUCUCUAUUAACAUAUGCUACCCCUCCUAAAUAUAAACAGAAUUUGCGAGAGUUAAUCAAAGGAGGUUCAGCUCCUUUGAUAUAAGAUACAACUUUUUUCAGCUGGGUAAAGAUCAUA